Non-coding RNA from Paramuricea clavata, 73 nucleotides. The record is from the annotation of a GenBank genome assembly. Lineage: Eukaryota; Metazoa; Cnidaria; Anthozoa; Malacalcyonacea; Plexauridae.
AACUCUGUAGCUCAGUUGGUUUGAGUGCUGGACUGGAUUUGCAGGGUCGUAGGUUUGAUUCCGGCCAGAGCUA